AAACGACUCUCGGCAACGGAUAUCUCGGCUCACGCAUCGAUGAAGAACGUAGCAAAAUGCGAUACUUGGUGUGAAUUGCAGAAUCCCGUGAACCAUCGAGUUUUUGAACGCAAGUUGCGCCCGAAGCCUUUUGGCCAAGGGCACGUCUGCCUGGGCGUCACACAU
This 165-nucleotide ribosomal RNA is filed under the name Brachyglottis elaeagnifolia. Its description in RNAcentral is "5.8S ribosomal RNA". It matches the Rfam family "5.8S ribosomal RNA". From Rfam's summary of the family: 5.8S ribosomal RNA (5.8S rRNA) is a component of the large subunit of the eukaryotic ribosome. It is transcribed by RNA polymerase I as part of the 45S precursor that also contains 18S and 28S rRNA. Functionally, it is thought that 5.8S rRNA may be involved in ribosome translocation. Lineage: Eukaryota; Viridiplantae; Streptophyta; Magnoliopsida; Asterales; Asteraceae. The record is from RNAcentral.